GACGAACGCUGGCGGCGUGCCUAAUACAUGCAAGUAGAACGCACAGUUUAUACCGUAGCUUGCUACACCAUAGACUGUGAGUUGCGAACGGGUGAGUAACGCGUAGGUAACCUGCCUGGUAGCGGGGGAUAACUAUUGGAAACGAUAGCUAAUACCGCAUAAUAUUAAUUAUUGCACGAUAAUUGAUUGAAAGAUGCAACUGCAUCACUACCAGAUGGACCUGCGUUGUAUUAGCUAGUAGGUGAGGUAACGGCUCACCUAGGCGACGAUACAUAGCCGACCUGAGAGGGUGAUCGGCCACACUGGGACUGAGACACGGCCCAGACUCCUACGGGAGGCAGCAGUAGGGAAUCUUCGGCAAUGGACGAAAGUCUGACCGAGCAACGCCGCGUGAGUGAAGAAGGUUUUCGGAUCGUAAAGCUCUGUUGUAAGAGAAGAACGGGUGUGAGAGUGGAAAGUUCACACUGUGACGGUAUCUUACCAGAAAGGGACGGCUAACUACGUG
Molecule: ribosomal RNA, 505 nt
Filed under: uncultured bacterium
Lineage: Bacteria
Description: partial 16S ribosomal RNA
Rfam family: Bacterial small subunit ribosomal RNA
Source: RNAcentral